CUCUUCUUCGCCCAUUUUGGCACUAGCACAUUUUUGCUUCUGUAUGUAUACUUUGAGCAAUUAUGUGUAGUGCCAAUAUAGGAGAAGACAGACUUUCAACCU
Takifugu rubripes (torafugu) is the source of this 102-nucleotide microRNA precursor. Ensembl annotates it as microRNA mir-96. Its record names the gene mir96. The record is from Ensembl. Lineage: Eukaryota; Metazoa; Chordata; Actinopteri; Tetraodontiformes; Tetraodontidae.